UACGAAGGGGGCUAGCGUUGCUCGGAAUCACUGGGCGUAAAGCGCACGUAGGCGGAUCUUUAAGUCAGGGGUGAAAUCUUUCCGCUUAACGGGAAGCGUGCCUCCGAUACUGAUCGCCUCGAGGGAGGUAGGGGCAUGUGGAACUUCCGGUGGAGCGGUGAAAUGCGUAGAUAUCGGAAGGAACGCCGGUGGCGAAAGCGACGUGCUGGACCUCUUCUGACGCUGAGGCGCGAAAGCUAGGGGAGCAAACGGG
This 253-nucleotide ribosomal RNA is filed under the name uncultured bacterium. RNAcentral's name for it is "partial 16S ribosomal RNA". It matches the Rfam family "Bacterial small subunit ribosomal RNA", at positions 524 to 776 of the family's 1533-position model. The record is from RNAcentral.